AGCUUGCUCUCUGGUGGCGUGUGGCGAACGGGUGAGUAAUAUAUCGGAACGUGUCUAAUAAUGGGGGAUAACUAGUCGAAAGAUUAGCUAAUACCGCAUACGCCCUGAGGGGGAAAGUGGGGGAUCUUCGGACCUCACGUUAAUGGAGCGGCCGAUACCUGAUUAGCUAGUUGGUAGGGUAAAAGCCUACCAAGGCGACGAUCAGUAGCUGGUCUGAGAGGAUGAUCAGCCACACUGGGACUGAGACACGGCCCAGACUCCUACGGGAGGCAGCAGUGGGGAAUUUUGGACAAUGGGCGCAAGCCUGAUCCAGCCAUGCCGCGUGAGUGAAGAAGGCCUUCGGGUUGUAAAGCUCUUUCGCAAGGAAAGAAAACUUACAUGUAAAUAAUGUGUGAGGUUGACGGUACCUUGAUAAGAAGCACCGGCUAACUACGUGCCAGCAGCCGCGGUAAUACGUAGGGUGCAAGCGUUAAUCGGAAUUACUGGGCGUAAAGCGAGCGCAGGCGGUUUUGUAAGUCAGAUGUGAAAGCCCCGGGCUCAACCUGGGAACUGCGUUUGAAACUACAAGGCUAGAGUAUGGGAGAGGGGGGUAGAAUUCCACGUGUAGCAGUGAAAUGCGUAGAGAUGUGGAGGAAUACCAAUGGCGAAGGCACCCCCUGGCCUAAUACUGACGCUCAGCUCAAAGCGUGGGGA
This 693-nucleotide ribosomal RNA is filed under the name uncultured beta proteobacterium. Its description in RNAcentral is "bacterial SSU rRNA". It matches the Rfam family "Bacterial small subunit ribosomal RNA", at positions 77 to 767 of the family's 1533-position model. Lineage: Bacteria; Pseudomonadati; Pseudomonadota; Betaproteobacteria. The record is from RNAcentral.